GGGGCUGACAGGUUUCGACGUCAGAUUCGAUGUUCGAGCGUGCGACUCGAGUUGCUCAGACUCGUAAAACGGGGCAAAAAAAUAACUGCCAACAAGCAGUUCGCUCUCGCCGCCUAAUUAAGUGGCAGAGAGCAACCGUGAGCCGCAAGGUCGCACGGGGCCAAUUCACCGCAGCCCGGCAACAGAAGCGGGGAAUGACAUUGGGAAAGACCGAUGACGUCGAGAAAGACCGAUGACCGUGCAGAAAGUUGCACCGCGACUUGUGCACCUAGUGCACUUGUAACCGACCCGUCGGCGUUGCUGCGUAGCGACAUUACGGGAAUAGUCGUAUCACGGGCGCUCAACGGCUGAUGGACGGGGGUUCGAUUCCCCCCAGCUCCACCA
Non-coding RNA from Acidimicrobium sp., 384 nucleotides. NCBI's taxonomy places the organism in Bacteria, Bacillati, Actinomycetota, Acidimicrobiia, Acidimicrobiales, Acidimicrobiaceae. The record is from Rfam.